GAAUCUUUUCUCGUCCUAAAGUAGUCCCUUCGAAACUUUCGAGCCAAAUCUCAAAUCAUGAAAAAUCUUGUGGUUUUCUUAUGAAAAUAUUAGUAACAUUUAGUAUAAAUGGUAUCUCUUUAUUCUUCUGACACAAUAAAGCAAAUCAAUAGAGUGAAAGUAGGUUUGAUAAAUCUCGUUUUACAAAGUUAAACUAUCCCUUGUAUUGCAUAAGGUUUGCAGGGACAAAGGGCACAUUCAAUCACAUGCAACCUCAUGAGAGCUAGGAAGAAGAGAAAAGAGUACAAAUAUUCAGAGCUAAUCACUAUCGAUGUGAUACCUCCAUUGGUUUAUUUCAAGAUUGAAUGGCUCUUCCGUUUCAGCAGGUGGCUUUACUCCUAGAAAUAGCAAUGUGCUCAUAGUAUCCACAUCUUCGAACAGGGUAUAUGCCUUCGACGUUGAAGCUAAACAACUAGGAGAAUGGUCCAACCGGAAUACAUUCUCCCUGCCGAGAAGAUUUCAAGAAUUUCCUGGAGAAGUGAUUGGGCUUUCUUUUGCUCCUUCUACUAAUUCAUCAUCCGUCAUAGUCUAAAGUUCAAGGGCGAUGUGCUUGAUUAACUUUGGGUUGCCAGUUGGUGAUGAUGACGAUACUGACUUAGCUAAUGGUCAAGAUUUAGCUUUGAAGAAGCUACAUAAUAGUUCUCCUGCAAAUGGGACUUUAAAGCGCAAGUUGAAAGGGAAUGACUUAGAUUUGAAACAAAACGGUAGAAAGAAUUUUGAAUUCUGUGCUUUCAGGGAUCCUGUUUUAUUUGUUGGACAUCUUUCAAGAACUUCCACCUUGAUCAUAGACAAACCUUGGAUUCAAGUGGUUAAAACUCUUGAUGCUCCACCCGUUCACAGACGUAUUUUUGGGACAUAACUCUGGUCACAAGUUUUUGUAAUACUAGGGAAUGUUUCGAGGGGAGUAUUCAAACCCCUUUCGCUUAUAAAUUUUUCUUUGUUGUUA
This is a long non-coding RNA of Lycium ferocissimum, 985 nucleotides long. RefSeq lists it as uncharacterized. The record is from RefSeq and is a predicted model, not a curated record. Lineage: Eukaryota; Viridiplantae; Streptophyta; Magnoliopsida; Solanales; Solanaceae. The transcript is spliced from 3 exons.